This 762-nucleotide ribosomal RNA is filed under the name uncultured Inocybe. RNAcentral describes it as "partial 28S ribosomal RNA". It matches the Rfam family "Eukaryotic large subunit ribosomal RNA", at positions 216 to 962 of the family's 3401-position model. Lineage: Eukaryota; Fungi; Basidiomycota; Agaricomycetes; Agaricales; Cortinariaceae. The record is from RNAcentral.
GAAUCCCGUCUUUGACACGGACUGCCUGCAUGUUAUGGUGCGCUCUCAAAGAGUCGAGUUGUUUGGGAAUGCAGCUCAAAAUGGGUGGUAAAUGCCAUCUAAAGCUAAAUAUUGGCGAGAGACCGAUAGCGAACAAGUACCGUGAGGGAAAGAUGAAAAGAACUUUGGAAAGAGAGUUAAACAGUACGUGAAAUUGCUGAAAGGGAAACGCUUGAAGUCAGUCGCGUCAGCUAGAAAUCAACCUUGCUUUUGCUUGGUGUACUUUCUUGUUUGAUGGGUCAGCAUCAAUUUUGACCGUUGGAUAAAGUCGUUGGGAAUGUGGCAUCUUAGGAUGUGUUAUAGCCCAUCGUCGCAUACAGCGGUUGGGAUUGAGGAACUCAGCACGCCCUUCUGGGGACGGGUUUCGACCACGUUUCGUGCUUAGGAUGCUGGCAUAAUGGCUUUAAUCGACCCGUCUUGAAACACGGACCAAGGAGUCUAACAUGCCUGCGAGUGUUCGGGUGGAAAACCCGUGCGCGCAAUGAAAGUGAAAGUUGGGACCUCUGUCGUGGAGGGCACCGACGCCCGGACCAGACCUUCUGUGACGGUUCUGCGGUAGAGCAUGUAUGUUAGGACCCGAAAGAUGGUGAACUAUGCCUGAAUAGGGUGAAGCCAGAGGAAACUCUGGUGGAGGCUCGUAGCGAUUCUGACGUGCAAAUCGAUCGUCAAAUUUGGGUAUAGGGGCGAAAGACUAAUCGAACCAUCUAGUAGCUGGUUCCUGCC